AUGUGUUGUGUGAUGUGGUUGACAUGGAUGCCGGCCAUGUUCUUCUUGGGAGGCCUUGGCAAUUUGAUGUGGAUACUACACACAAGGGCAAGGAAAAUUCUUACUCUUUCAUUUGGAACAAGAAAAAGACCAUUAUCUUACCAAAAAACCGAAGGUAAUACCUCUAAGGAGGAGAGGAAAACUAUGUUAACUAUCUCCCAUGCCUCUCAUGAGUUUAUGGAAGACUUGAAGGAGGCAGAUUUGUGUGUUGCACUUGUUGUAAAGGGAGAAGAGCACCUGACUGUUGAAAUUCCAGCAAAGGUACGUGGUUUAUUGGCAGAAUUUCAGAACAUACUUGGGGAGCCACAUGGCUUGCCACCGAUGAGAGGAAUUCAACAUAGAAUUGACUUAAUUCCGGGAGCAAGUCUUCCUAAUCUUCCACACUAUCGAAUGAGCCCAAAGGAGCAUGAUAUAUUGAAGGCGAAAGUGGAGGAAUUGUUGCAAAAGGGGCACACGAGAAAGUAUUAG
Molecule: ribosomal RNA, 507 nt
Filed under: Triticum aestivum (bread wheat)
Lineage: Eukaryota; Viridiplantae; Streptophyta; Magnoliopsida; Poales; Poaceae
Description: partial small subunit ribosomal RNA
Source: RNAcentral